UUUGCCCCUUGUUUCUUUAUUUCCCUUAUGCCUCUGUGGCUUUUGGGGGCCUUUCUAGUUUUUAUUUUAUUUUUAAUAAUUAUCAUAAUGGAAGGUGUUAAUUAGUCAUUUCAAUUGGUAUAAUGUUCUUUCAAUUUAUGAGACCUAUAUCGGGCUUCCAUAUUUUCCCAAUUUCAUAAUCAAAAUGCAAUGUGAUGAGAAAACUUUCCUUUUCUUUUCCUUCAUUAUUAUUUCACUGCUGGUGGUAUGAUGUGUUUUUCUUGUUUGAAU
This 270-nucleotide long non-coding RNA is filed under the name Prunus persica (peach). RNAcentral describes it as "long non-coding RNA (PPER_LNC006823)". The record is from RNAcentral. Lineage: Eukaryota; Viridiplantae; Streptophyta; Magnoliopsida; Rosales; Rosaceae.